Molecule: ribosomal RNA, 413 nt
Filed under: uncultured bacterium
Lineage: Bacteria
Description: bacterial SSU rRNA
Rfam family: Bacterial small subunit ribosomal RNA
Source: RNAcentral
GCCAGCAGCCGCGGUAAUACGUAGGGGGCGAACGUUGCUCGGAAUUACUGGGCGUAAAGCGUGCGUAGGUGGCUGAGCAAGUCAAAGAUGAAAUCCCGGGGCCCACCCUCGGAACUGUUUUUGAAACUGCUUAGCUUGAGGAUAGUUGAGGAUAAUGGAAUUCCCGGUGGAGCGGUGAAAUGCGUAGAUAUCGGGAGGAACACCAGAGGCGAAGGCGAUUAUCUGGACUAUUCCUGACACUGAGGUACGAAAGCUAGGGGAGCGAACGGGAUUAGAUACCCCGGUAGUCCUAGCUGUAAACGAUGGGCACUAGAUGUUUCCGCAUUUUGUGGGAGUGUCGAAGCUAACGUGUUAAGUGCCCCCGCUGGGGAGUACGGUCGCAAGGCUGAAACUUCAAGGAAUUGAAGGGGGCC